This 253-nucleotide ribosomal RNA is filed under the name uncultured bacterium. Its description in RNAcentral is "partial 16S ribosomal RNA". It matches the Rfam family "Bacterial small subunit ribosomal RNA", at positions 524 to 776 of the family's 1533-position model. The record is from RNAcentral.
GACGUAGGGCGCAAGCGUUGUCCGGAUUUAUUGGGCGUAAAGAGCUCGUAGGCGGCUUGUUGCGUCGACCGUGAAAACCCGGGGCUCAACUUCGGGCUUGCGGUCGAUACGGGCGGGCUAGAGUUCGGUAGGGGAGACUGGAAUUCCUGGUGUAGCGGUGAAAUGCGCAGAUAUCAGGAGGAACACCGGUGGCGAAGGCGGGUCUCUGGGCCGAUACUGACGCUGAGGAGCGAAAGCGUGGGGAGCGAACAGG